CCUUGUGAGACGUUGGCAGAGUGCGUGUCUUUUAUCGGGCUCGGCGCAGCGCCGCGCCACCGCCGCGACGUCCAUUUUUAAUGACGCGACGUGACAGGCGGGUCGGCGCACAGAAAAAUACAAGGCCCACGCCUUGUCCGCCCCGUCAAGGACGCUGCCAACGGCAGCCGAUGGCCCGAUACGCGGCGUUUUAUUUCACUCACCAUUCGCCGCUGCUCUCAUCGUUUAUUUUCUCAAUCGUUCAAUGUUUGUCGACAUUGGAGUAUCGUAAACGAGCAACAGCUCUUAUAUCAGUAACGGAAGAAUGACGCCACUGCAUCACAUUAGAUGCAGGACUUGACACCGCAGACUCUUCUACAUGUGUGGCGCCAUCUCAGAGGCAUGUGCUUACAGCUUCUCAGGAAAAAUCUCAUUGCUUCUCGGAUAACAUGGACAAACAUAAAAACUUUGAAGAGUGUCAGUGACAUUGUAAUUGUACCAUAGACAGCAAAAUAUUUGAAUUGAACAGUAUCAACGGUGUCUUGAUAAGAUAUUACGUAACGCAAUGUAGUCGAAUCAAAUAAUGUGAUGUUCAGGGAAUUAGAAUAGAAAAUGAGACACUAGAAAUAAUCGGACGCCAAAGAAGUGAACAUUGCUGAAAUAAAUUACCAGCAGCAAGAAAACAUUUCCAAAAAAAAAAAGGUAAACGUCGAAUGUAAAUGUGUUGAGAAGGUUUGUAUUAAGGUAUUUUUCGGGAGUGUACCCUUGUAAGGAAUUCACACAUUAAGUGGCAAACAGCUCAUAAGUAAAGACGAUAGAAGCUGUUGAAAUAUUACGCUCCGGAAGGAUUCUCAAGAUUACACGAGAAAGUCGAACAGCUAACGAAGAAAUACUAAACAGAACUGGGGGAAAAUAAAUUUGUGGAGGGAGUUGGAGUCAUUCUGCAGAGGCGAAGUGGCUUGCACAAGAAAAUUAUCCUUAAGAGCUACAUCAAACCAAUCUUCGGACUGAGGCCCACAACUAUAACGAAUAUGUGGAACGCCAGACACGAUAAGGAACAAAGAUGAGAUAGAACACUGGUAGUUGCAGUGCGUUACACUGUGUAGAUGAGACUGAGAAAGAAAAUUCUAAAAUUGCAGUCCACAAAUGCAGAUACCGAGGUCAGCCUAGGACUACUCAACACAGGAUCAGCUUCGAACUGAAGAUAUCUGAAGAGAGAUCUUUUUUUUUUUUUUUUUGACGCUCCGGAAGCAUUCUCAAGAUUACACGAGAAAGUCGAACAGCUAACGAAGAAAUACUAAACAGAACUGGGGGAAAAUAAAUUUGUGGAGGGAGUUGGAGUCAUUCUGCAGAGGCGAAGUGUCUUGCACAAGAAAAUUAUCCUUAAGAGCUACAUCAAACCAAUCUUCGGACUGAGGCCCACAACUAUAACGAAGAUGUGGAACGCCAGACACGAUAAGGAACAAAGAUGAGAUAGAACACUGGUAGUUGCAGUGCGUUACACUGUGUAGAUGAGACUGAGGAAGAAAAUUCUAAAAUUGCAGUCCACAAAUGCAGAUACCGAGGUCAGCCUAGAACUACCCAACACAGGAUCAGCUUCGAACUGAAGAUAUCUGAAGAGAGAUCUUUUUUUUUGACGUUACUGAACACUUUAAGUGAAGAUAGGUACAGUCGACAAUCAUGCCUGUUCGUAUGUCUUGAUAAGCUCGUAAAGCUUCAGUUGUGUACAGCUCGCAGCACUGGGAACGCAACACGCACCGGAAAUUGUAACGAUUUUACUUAUAGAUCGUUUUGAUUUUCUGUAAUUGAGUAUAAUUACUGCAUAUUGUUUUGUAUAUACAUUGUAACACUUACUUUUAUCUGUUGGAAACGCUGAGAUGUUUCAGCCUCGAAUGUGCAAAUAAGAAUAGAGAUGAGUCGUUACGUUGUAGCUGUAUGGCAGCGUUUGAGGGUCUGGGUUUUCCCCAAAGUAAUUAUGUUUCGUGUUGUUACAUAUUAACCCUGUGGAUUACUAAUUGUUUCUUUUCAGUUUUGCUGUUACGAUGUGUUGUGUUAAUACCUUUCUUGUGAAAUGUUAUGCUGUUUUUCUAUUGUACAAUAAAAUGAAUGUUAAAUGUAAA
RNAcentral lists this long non-coding RNA (2099 nucleotides) under Schistocerca americana (American grasshopper). Its description in RNAcentral is "uncharacterized LOC124595147". Lineage: Eukaryota; Metazoa; Arthropoda; Insecta; Orthoptera; Acrididae. The record is from RNAcentral.